AGAACGAACGUUAGCGGCGCGCCUAACACAUGCAAGUCGAACGCGACUGGGGGCAACUCCAGUUGAGUGGCGCACGGGUGAGUAACACGUAGGUAAUCUCCCCCCGAGUGGCGGAUAACCCUCCGAAAGGAGAGCUAAUACAGCAUGAGACCACGGCUUCGAAAGGAGCUGAGGUCAAAGCGGAGGAUCGCAAGACUUCGCGCUUGGGGAUGAGCCUGCGGCCCAUCAGGUAGUUGGCGGGGUAAUGGCCCACCAAGCCUUAGACGGUAGCUGGUCUGAGAGGAUGAUCAGCCACACUGGAACUG
This 305-nucleotide ribosomal RNA is filed under the name uncultured soil bacterium. RNAcentral describes it as "bacterial SSU rRNA". It matches the Rfam family "Bacterial small subunit ribosomal RNA", at positions 26 to 321 of the family's 1533-position model. The record is from RNAcentral.